GUUGGUGAAAUACCAGUUGGAUCAGUGGGAAGGACACGAGCAGGACUCAGAAGGGGGCCAGGUCAGAAAACUCUCGUAAAAAUCAGCCACGCUGGAGGCUCAUCUGCUUGAGUCCUGAGAGGCAUCAAGAGGCAGCCUGGGUCCCAAAAGGCAGUGGAAACGUGCUGCCAUCUGGUGGCCACUGCUAAGCAUAACGCCUUAACGCGGACACAAGCAUAAGCCUUUCACCCUUGAAGCUGAUGCUACUUCGCAAGACUUAGCCAGUUGUCCAGAGUCUGGAACAACGUGAGAAUUAACUGAACCGUCCUCUAGGUCAGAGAAUACUGAUCCCCUAUUGAUAUCGGUCAGUUGACAACAUCAAACUCAGGGACCCCUUGUCCUUGUGAAGACUUAGUAUGGCUGUUCAUGUGUUCAUGCUCUUACUGAAGGCCGUCGUUCAGAAGCCUGAAGCCAGGAAUGCCAGCUCUGUCAAUUCCCAGCUGUGUAACCUUGGAUGAGUUACUUAACUCUUUUGAAUCUCAGCUUGCUCAGCACCAAAAUCUUUUCAAUUUGAGAAUGUUGGAUGAAAAAAACCAUGAAUAAAAAAUGUUGCACACAGUAGCUGAUAUCAUGCAGAGUA
This is a long non-coding RNA of Chinchilla lanigera (long-tailed chinchilla), 619 nucleotides long. RefSeq lists it as uncharacterized. The record is from RefSeq and is a predicted model, not a curated record. Lineage: Eukaryota; Metazoa; Chordata; Mammalia; Rodentia; Chinchillidae. The transcript is spliced from 3 exons.